GGCCGUAACUAUAACGGUCCUAAGGUAGCGAAAUUCCUUGUCGGGUAAGUUCCGACCCGCACGAAAGGCGUAACGAUCUGGGCACUGUCUCAACGAGAGACUCGGUGAAAUUAUAGUACCUGUGAAGAUGCAGGUUACCCGCGACAGGACGGAAAGACCCCGUGGAGCUUUACUGUAACUUGAUAUUGAAUUUCGGUGCAACCUGUACAGCAUAGGUAGGAGCCAGAGAAGUCGGAGCGCUAGCUUCGAUGGAGGCGUCUAUGGGAUACUACCCUGGUUGUAUUGAACUUCUAACCCAUGCCCCUUAGCGGGGCAGGAGACAGUGUCAGGUGGACAGUUUGACUGGGGCGGUCGCCUCCUAAAGAGUAACGGAGGCGCCCAAAGGUUCCCUCAGAAUGGUUGGAAAUCAUUCGUAGAGUGUAAAGGCAGAAGGGAGCUUGACUGCGAGACCUACAAGUCGAGCAGGGACGAAAGUCGGGCUUAGUGAUCCGGUGGUUCCGCAUGGA
This 506-nucleotide ribosomal RNA is filed under the name Clostridiales bacterium. RNAcentral's name for it is "partial 23S ribosomal RNA". It matches the Rfam family "Bacterial large subunit ribosomal RNA", at positions 1932 to 2437 of the family's 2925-position model. The record is from RNAcentral. Lineage: Bacteria; Bacillati; Bacillota; Clostridia; Eubacteriales.